Long non-coding RNA from Xenia sp. Carnegie-2017, 645 nucleotides. RefSeq lists it as uncharacterized. The record is from RefSeq and is a predicted model, not a curated record. The transcript has 2 exons. NCBI's taxonomy places the organism in Eukaryota, Metazoa, Cnidaria, Anthozoa, Malacalcyonacea, Xeniidae.
GUUUACAAACAUGGAUUUUCGAAUAUUUAAGACCUUUCGCGACUCCUUACUAACCUCAAGUAUUAGUCAUGGAUAAAACAGGUUAUGCGAAUCGAUUUGACAUCAAAAUGAUUCCGAUAGCUGUAAAAUAUCGACGUUAGUGGUGAUUUAAAUGUUGUACAUGCGAGAAUGUAUUUUGUCCCAUCGUUGCCAAUGCAAGAUAGUUCACUGCUCGCUUUCCAAUUUCUGAGGCAGUUAUGAUCUAGUAUACGUUUCAGUUCUUUAGAAAUGAGGUGUCCCCAAUUACUUCCAAUAUGUUAGUUUCAUCUUGUCUGGUGCAGUUGCCAUUGCAACCAUGGAUACUGCUUCUCAUCAAAAGUCUCUUGUAUGCAGGACUUCGUAAAUUGUUCAGCUGUUGGUUGUUGUUCAAGCCUCCUGAGGACCAAAUUGCUCCAAAGAAAAGCUCUAAAUGAUCUUGGCUAAAUUUAUAAGUCAAAAUAUAUUUCAUUCGUGCAUCUUCCUCAGAAAUAAUAUAAAUUAAAAUCUCAUUUUUUGCUCUAAAUUUUAUUUUCCUCUUCUAAGUGCUAAGCAAAUUCCAGUAGUUAGUAUGAAUGUAAUAUUAAUGCCUUAAAUAUUUUUCCAAAAACAUUAAAAUUAUUCUUAAGA